This 423-nucleotide long non-coding RNA is filed under the name Gossypium raimondii (Peruvian cotton). Its description in RNAcentral is "long non-coding RNA (GRAI_LNC003003)". The record is from RNAcentral. Lineage: Eukaryota; Viridiplantae; Streptophyta; Magnoliopsida; Malvales; Malvaceae.
UUUAUUUAAAAACAUAAGGAUGUACAACAUUGAUACAAUAAAAACAUUUCAUAUUUAUUUAAAAAUUUAUAUGACAAGUACAAAAAUACAAGAAAUCAAUUCAAUCCUAAGUCAGAAUGUGUUCAACAUCAAAGUGGUUAGUAGUUGCGAGCCGGGUUUCUUCUUGGUUGAACCUCUAGUACAAGUUGUGGUCUUGGCCUUUCAUCUUUUUCGCCUUCAUCCGUAGUUGAUUGCGAUUGGUUGCUCCUCGGUUUCCAUCGUGUAUCUUCCAGUGUUGGAAUAAGUGGUUGCAAAGAUGGUCCACUGAUAGGUGCUAAAAGUGACAUGUUUUAGUCUCAUUCUUAAUGCGUUUUAGGUUAUUAUUCGAUGUUAAUGGUGAAUUUUAUGCUCCUAAUCCUUUAAAUUCAUUUUUUUAUACUUAGG